UCCUACGGGAGGCAGCAGUGGGGAAUUUUGGACAAUGGGCGCAAGCCUGAUCCAGCAAUGCCGCGUGAGUGAAGAAGGCCUUCGGGUUGUAAAGCUCUUUUGUCAGGGAAGAAAAGGUGCGCUCUAACAUAGCGUACUGAUGACGGUACCUGAAGAA
Molecule: ribosomal RNA, 157 nt
Filed under: uncultured bacterium
Lineage: Bacteria
Description: partial 16S ribosomal RNA
Rfam family: Bacterial small subunit ribosomal RNA
Source: RNAcentral